AACGAACGCUGGCGGCAUGCCUAACACAUGCAAGUCGAACGAACCCUUCGGGGUUAGUGGCGCACGGGUGCGUAACGCGUGGGAAUCUGCCCUUUGGUUCGGAAUAACAGUUAGAAAUGACUGCUAAUACCGGAUGAUGACUUCGGUCCAAAGAUUUAUCGCCAGAGGAUGAGCCCGCGUAGGAUUAGGUAGUUGGUGGGGUAAAGGCCUACCAAGCCGACGAUCCUUAGCUGGUCUGAGAGGAUGAUCAGCCACACUGGGACUGAGACACGGCCCAGACUCCUACGGGAGGCAGCAGUGGGGAAUAUUGGACAAUGGGCGCAAGCCUGAUCCAGCAAUGCCGCGUGAGUGAUGAAGGCCUUCGGGUCGUAAAGCUCUUUUACCCGGGAUGAUAAUGACAGUACCGGGAGAAUAAGCUCCGGCUAACUCCGUGCCAGCCGCCGCCGUAA
RNAcentral lists this ribosomal RNA (449 nucleotides) under uncultured bacterium. Its description in RNAcentral is "partial 16S ribosomal RNA". It matches the Rfam family "Bacterial small subunit ribosomal RNA", at positions 29 to 523 of the family's 1533-position model. The record is from RNAcentral.